RNAcentral lists this ribosomal RNA (253 nucleotides) under uncultured bacterium. RNAcentral's name for it is "partial 16S ribosomal RNA". It matches the Rfam family "Bacterial small subunit ribosomal RNA", at positions 524 to 776 of the family's 1533-position model. The record is from RNAcentral.
UACGGAGGGUGCACGCGUUAUCCGGAUUCACUGGGUUUAAAGGGUGCGUAGGUGGGCAGUUAAGUCAGUGGUGAAAUCUCCGGGCUUAACCCGGAAACUGCCAUUGAUACUAUCUGUCUUGAAUAUCGUGGAGGUAAGCGGAAUAUGUCAUGUAGCGGUGAAAUGCUUAGAUAUGACAUAGAACACCAAUUGCGAAGGCAGCUUACUACCCGAAUAGUGACACUGAGGCACGAAAGCGUGGGGAUCAAACAGG